This 484-nucleotide ribosomal RNA is filed under the name uncultured bacterium. Its description in RNAcentral is "partial 16S ribosomal RNA". It matches the Rfam family "Bacterial small subunit ribosomal RNA", at positions 30 to 507 of the family's 1533-position model. The record is from RNAcentral.
AUUGAACGCUGGCGGCAGGCCUAACACAUGCAAGUCGAGCGGAUGAAGGGAGCUUGCUCCUGGAUUCAGCGGCGGACGGGUGAGUAAUGCCUAGGAAUCUGCCUGGUAGUGGGGGAUAACGUCCGGAAACGGGCGCUAAUACCGCCUACGUCCUGCGGGAGCAAGUGGGGGAUCUUCGGACCUCACGCUAUCAGAUGAGCCUAGGUCGGAUUAGCUAGUUGGUGGGGUAAAGGCCUACCAAGGCGACGAUCCGUAACUGGUCUGAGAGGAUGAUCAGUCACACUGGAACUGAGACACGGUCCAGACUCCUACGGGAGGCAGCAGUGGGGAAUAUUGGACAAUGGGCGAAAGCCUGAUCCAGCCAUGCCGCGUGUGUGAAGAAGGUCUUCGGAUUGUAAAGCACUUUAAGUUGGGAGGAAGGGCAGUAAGUUAAGACCUUGCUGUUUUGACGUUACCAACAGAAUAAGCACCGGCUAACUUCGUG